Molecule: transfer RNA, 72 nt
Filed under: Myxococcales bacterium
Lineage: Bacteria; Pseudomonadati; Myxococcota; Myxococcia; Myxococcales
Description: tRNA-Cys
Rfam family: tRNA
About the family: Transfer RNA (tRNA) molecules are approximately 80 nucleotides in length.
Source: RNAcentral
GGUUCCGUGUCCGAGCGGCUUAGGUCCCCGAAUGCAAGUCGGGUUACUCGGGUUCGAAUCCCGACGGAACCU